RNAcentral lists this ribosomal RNA (433 nucleotides) under uncultured bacterium. RNAcentral's name for it is "partial 16S ribosomal RNA". It matches the Rfam family "Bacterial small subunit ribosomal RNA", at positions 29 to 507 of the family's 1533-position model. The record is from RNAcentral.
AACGAACGCUGGCGGCAUGCCUAACACAUGCAAGUCGAACGAGACCUUCGGGUCUAGUGGCGCACGGGUGCGUAACGCGUGGGAACCUGCCCUUAGGUUCGGAAUAACUCCCCGAAAGGGGUGCUAAUACCGGAUAAUGUCUUCGGACCAAAGAUUUAUCGCCUUUGGAUGGGCCCGCGUUGGAUUAGCUAGUUGGUAGGGUAAAAGCCUACCAAGGCGACGAUUCAUAGCUGGUCUGAGAGGAUGAGCAGCCACACUGGGACUGAGACACGGCCCAGACUCCUACGGGAGGCAGCAGUGGGGAAUAUUGGACAAUGGGCGAAAGCCUGAUCCAGCAAUGCCGCGUGAGUGAUGAAGGCCUUAGGGUUGUAAAGCUCUUUUACCCGGGAUGAUAAUGACAGUACCGGGAGAAUAAGCUCCGGCUAACUCCGUG